This 468-nucleotide ribosomal RNA is filed under the name uncultured bacterium. RNAcentral describes it as "partial 16S ribosomal RNA". It matches the Rfam family "Bacterial small subunit ribosomal RNA", at positions 28 to 507 of the family's 1533-position model. The record is from RNAcentral.
GACGAACGCUGGCGGCGUGCUUAACACAUGCAAGUCGAACGGAAAGGCCCUGCUUUUGUGGGGUGCUCGAGUGGCGAACGGGUGAGUAACACGUGAGUAACCUGCCCUUGACUUUGGGAUAACUUCAGGAAACUGGGACUAAUACCGGAUCGGAGCUCCUGCUGCAUGGUGGGGGUUGGAAAGUUUCGGCGGUUGGGGAUGGACUCGCGGCUUAUCAGCUUGUUGGUGGGGUAGUGGCUUACCAAGGCUUUGACGGGUAGCCGACCUGAGAGGGUGACCGGGCACAUUGGGACUGAGAGACGGCCCAGACGCCAACGGGGGGCAGCAGUGGGGAGUAUUGCACAGUGAGCGGGAGCCUGAGACAGCAACGCCGCGUGCGUGAUGACGGCCUUCGGGUUGUAAACCGCUUUAGCCUGUGACGAAGCGUGAGUGACGGUAAUGGGAAAAGAAGCACCGGCUAACUACGUG